Molecule: long non-coding RNA, 1042 nt
Organism: Hibiscus syriacus
Lineage: Eukaryota; Viridiplantae; Streptophyta; Magnoliopsida; Malvales; Malvaceae
Exons: 3
Source: RefSeq, a predicted model, not a curated record
UCAAUUGUUCCAAUGGAUAAUAUAUAUGCAUGUAGCUCGAGUUAAUUAAGAUUCAGACCUUACUCUAUAGGAUCCAUUAGUACUUUCGAAACCUUAUGUUUUGAAGCCCUAAAAUAUUCUCUACAACCUAUUAUCUAUUUACAAUUUUGGAAACUAAUGUUGUAAGUAUUGUUUCUUUUUGUUUUCUUUUUUCCCCUCUGUAUCUUUCGAGUGGAGAAGGGGUAUGUGCUAUGUAGGGUAUUCCAUAAGAACAAUAUAGGACCACCCAAUGGAAACCGAUAUGCACCCUUUAUUGAGUCGGAAUGGGAUGAUGCAUCAGCAGCUGUGGUUCCGGGACUAGAUGCCGGGGAUGAUGGUGUAGCUGGAAAUGAUGCGAUUGCUGGCAAUGAUGUGGCAUCUGCCGAGAAGGCAGUGAAUGAAAGUAACGCUGUUCAAAGGAUCGGUUUUGAGCAGGUUUAUGCUUUAUUUUUUUCCUCAAAAAAUUUCUUGAACAAUGGUGAACAAGAUUCUGAGAUAGCCUAUUGAGUUCCCAAUUACCGUAUUAAUUAUAAAAGUAAGUUUAAUAGUUUGUCCAGAACUGGUCUGAACUUCCAGUAAGUUUUGAGGUAGGAGUUACCGGAUUGCUCUUCCUCUUGGCGCCUUCCUAGAGAUAUUUGACUUCCAACUUCCCGAGCAAUCCUCAUGACUAGCUAGGAUGGGAUGCAAUACUAGGUACGGUAGCCUGUGCGAUAGAAUUAGUCGCUUCCUUUUCUAGAUUUUGGAUGAGCAUCCAUGUGCACUCCUAUGUUAUAGAAACCUUUCAGUUGCGAUAAACAUUAGGUUGAUACGGUGUGACAGACUGCAGAUUAUUUAGAGCACCUAUAUGAUUGUAUUAGGUAAGAUAUUGAAAUCUCAACAGUUCUUCCUCUGCAGUUUCAUUCCAAUGCCUUUUUUCUUGUACGGAGAGUAAUUGAUUGGCUGCACUUGUUUCAUGUGUGCAUCAUAUUCUAGUUUCAAAAUUCGACAUAACAAAUCGUUUUUUAUACUUAGUUCUGCUACUAAU